Molecule: ribosomal RNA, 253 nt
Filed under: uncultured bacterium
Lineage: Bacteria
Description: partial 16S ribosomal RNA
Rfam family: Bacterial small subunit ribosomal RNA
Source: RNAcentral
UACGGGGGGGGCAAGCGUUGUCCGGAAUUACUGGGCGUAAAGAGCUCGUAGGCGGUUUGUCGCGUUGUCCGUGAAAACUCACAGCUCAACUGUGGGCGUGCGGGCGAUACGGGCAGACUGGAGUACUGCAGGGGAGACUGGAAUUCCUGGUGUAGCGGUGGAAUGCGCAGAUAUCAGGAGGAACACCGGUGGCGAAGGCGGGUCUCUGGGCAGUAACUGACGCUGAGGAGCGAAAGCGUGGGGAGCGAACAGG